This 427-nucleotide ribosomal RNA is filed under the name uncultured bacterium. RNAcentral's name for it is "bacterial SSU rRNA". It matches the Rfam family "Bacterial small subunit ribosomal RNA", at positions 355 to 775 of the family's 1533-position model. The record is from RNAcentral.
UUUCGAAUCAUUCACAAUGGGCGAAAGCCUGAUGGUGCGACGCCGCGUGAGGGACGAAGGCCUUCGGGUUGUAAACCUCUGUCACCGGGGAAGAAACGCUAUCUUUUAACAGAAGGUAGCCUGACUUAACCCGGAGAGGAAGCAGUGGCUAACUCUGUGCCAGCAGCCGCGGUAAUACAGAGACUGCAAGCGUUAUUCGGAUUCACUGGGCGUAAAGGGUGCGCAGGCGGCCGUGUGUGUCAGGUGUGAAAGCCCGGAGCUUAACUCCGGAAUUGCGCCUGAAACUACAUGGCUAGAGCAUUGGAGAGGGUAGCGGAAUUCACGGUGUAGCAGUGAAAUGCGUAGAUAUCGUGAGGAACACCAGAGGCGAAGGCGGCUACCUGGACAAUUGCUGACGCUCAGGCACGAAAGCGUGGGGAGCAAAAGG